RNAcentral lists this ribosomal RNA (263 nucleotides) under uncultured bacterium. Its description in RNAcentral is "partial 16S ribosomal RNA". It matches the Rfam family "Bacterial small subunit ribosomal RNA", at positions 793 to 1055 of the family's 1533-position model. The record is from RNAcentral.
GUCCACGCCGUAAACGAUGGGUGCUAGGUGUGGGAGGUGUCGACUCCUUCCGUGCCGUAGCUAACGCAUUAAGCACCCCGCCUGGGGAGUACGGCCGCAAGGCUAAAACUCAAAGGAAUUGACGGGGCCCCGCACAAGCAGCGGAGCAUGUGGUUUAAUUCGAUGCAACGCGAAGAACCUUACCAGGGCUUUACAUGCACUGGAAAACCGUAGAAAUACGGUCCUCCUUCGGGACUAGUGCACAGGUGGUGCAUGGCUGUCGU